AAAAAGCUCGUAGUUGGAUCUCAGCUCGAGACGGAUGGUCCGCCUACCGGUGGUUACUGUCUGUUCUCAGCAUUCAGCCGGUUUCUCUUGAUGAUCUUCACCGGUUGUCUUGGGUGACCGGCAAGUUUACUUUGAAAAAAUUAGAGUGCUCAAAGCAGGCGUGAAAGCCUGAAUAAUGGUGCAUGGAAUAAUGGAAUAGGACCUCGGUUCUAUUUUGUUGGUUUUCGGAACACGAGGUAAUGAUUAAGAGGGACAGACGGGGGCAUUCGUAUUGCGACGCUAGAGGUGAAAUUCUUGGACCGUCGCAAGACGAACUACUGCGAAAGCAUUUGCCAAGAAUGUUUCCAUUAAUCAAGAACGAAAGUUAGAGGUUCGAAGGCGAUCAGAUACCGCCCUAGUUCUAACCAUAAACGAUGCCAGCCAGCGAUCCGGCUGUGUUCCUCAAAUGACACGCCGGGCAGCUUCCGGGAAACCAAAGCUUUUGGGUUCCGGGGGAAGUAUGGUUGCAAAGCUGAAACUUAAAGGAAUUGACGGAAGGGCACCACCAGAAAUGGAGCCUGCGGCUUAAUUUGACUCAACACGGGAAAACUUACCCGGCCCGGACACAGGAAGGAUUGACAGAUUAAGAGCUCUUUCUUGAUUCUGUGGGUGGUGGUGCAUGGCCGUUCUUAGUUGGUGGGGCGACUUGUCUGGUUAAUUCCGAUAACGAACGAGACUCUAGCCUACUAAAUAGACGCUCCGAUCCUUCGAGUCGGACGUUCUUCUUAGAGGGACAAGCGGCGUUUAGCCGCACGAAACAGAGCAAUAACAGGUCUGGGAUGCCCUUAGAUGUCCGGGGCCGCACGCGCGCUACAUUGAAGGAAUCAGCGUGUGCUCUCCCUAUCCGACAGGAUUGGGUAACCCGUUGAACCUCCUUCGUGCUGGGGAUAGGAGAUUGUAAUUGUCCUCCUUGAACGAGGAAUUCCCAGUAAGCACAAGUCAUAAGCUUGUGUUGAUUACGUCCCUGCCCUUUGUCCACACCGCCCGUCGCUACUACCGAUUGAAUGAUUUAGUGAGGUCUUCGGACUGGCGCUCGGAUUGGCCUCCGGGUCGAGCCGAAGUGCCGGAAAGAUGACCAAACUUGAUCAUUUAGAGGAAGUAAAAGUCGUAACAAGGUUUCC
RNAcentral lists this ribosomal RNA (1160 nucleotides) under Parazygiella montana. RNAcentral describes it as "SSU rRNA". It matches the Rfam family "Eukaryotic small subunit ribosomal RNA", at positions 621 to 1804 of the family's 1831-position model. Lineage: Eukaryota; Metazoa; Arthropoda; Arachnida; Araneae; Araneidae. The record is from RNAcentral.